Molecule: RNA transcript, 2097 nt
Organism: Sander lucioperca (pikeperch)
Lineage: Eukaryota; Metazoa; Chordata; Actinopteri; Perciformes; Percidae
Gene name: UNC93-like protein MFSD11
Exons: 14
Source: RefSeq, a predicted model, not a curated record
AGAAGCAGGAGAGAGUGAGGAAAAACCAUCAUGACGAAGAAGUCGAAGAAGAACAAGGAAGACCGCAAAAAAAGCCUGUAAUUAAAGUCACAAGUUGUCAUGCGUACUUAGUAUGAUAGAAGGGAAGUGCCAUUUAUAACAGUGCUACAGGGCUAUCUGUGUCCCGCGCUCUCCGCUACACUUCUGUCCUUCAUGCGGUUUGCGCAUUAAACUGUAACUUAACAGGUAGUAAAGUCAACUUUAGUGGCGCGACUUUGUUGAAAUGGGUUUCGUUUAUCCCAGUCGUUAAUGAAUCCGUAUGAGAGUCUUUCCUAGAUGUUUAGUUCCAAUGAGUCGACAGCACAACAUUACCAGCGGCAAGUUUAUAUUUAAUACAUGUAUUGCUAGGGCGAGUAAGAACACACCAUGGCAGACAGAAGGACUUUCAACGUUGUGAUUUUGGGUGUGGGAUUUUUGUUCAUUUUUACCGCCUUCACCACUUGUGGGAACGUUGAACAAACUGUAGUGAAAAGCCUGCAGACUGAUACCUUCACUGGGAGUGGCUACCACAGUCUUGGAAUAAUCUAUGGGGUAUUUUCGUUCUCCAAUUUACUUGCGCCAACAGUCGUUGCAGUAAUUGGACCAAAAAUGACUAUGUUUUUGAGUGGCCUUCUUUACAGUGGGUACAUUGCUGUGUUCAUCAUCCCUUCAACGUGGUCCUUUUACCUGACCUCUGUACUGAUCGGCAUAGGAGCAGCCAUGCUCUGGACAGCUCAGGGACACUUUCUGGUGGAAAACUCUGAGGCUUCCACCAUCAACAGGAACACAGGGAUGUUCUGGGCUCUCCUACAGUGCAGCAUGCUGUUUGGCAAUCUUUACAUUUAUUUCGACUGGAAUGGAAAAACAGAGGUAUCAGACAGCAGCAGGAAAAACAUUUUUCUGUCCCUGUUGGUCACCUCCAUACUUGGCACACUCAGCUUCCUGGUGUUGAGAAAGAGCCGUCAUGAAGACGAGAUGCUCUCUGAAGAGGAAGGGCAGGCACUGCUCUCAACUCCUGUGAUGUAUAAGCACAGAGCAAACACUGCCAUGCAGGAUGCCAAGUCAGAAUUCAAAACCAUUCUGCAACUUCUGAAGACUAAAACGAUACUGCUCCUGAGUCCCUGCAUGGCAUACAGUGGCCUGGAGCUAUCUUUCUACAGCGGAGUGUAUGGGACGUGUAUCGGAGCAACUACACAAUUUGGAGAAGCAGCUAAAGGCUUGAUUGGGAUCUCUGGGAUUGUGGUAGGCAUUGGAGAAAUUGUGGGUGGAGGCUUGUUUGGAUUGUUGUGUAAGAACAAUCGCUUCAGACGGACCUCGGUUGUGUUUCUGGGAAUGGUUGUCCAUUUUGUUGCUGUCUAUUUGAUCUUCCUCAACAUCCCAGAUGAUGCCCCGGUUGUCUUUAGUACCACCACCCAACAUAAACCAUAUCUAACUCCAAGUGUAUCCAUUGCACUGCUGUGCAGCUUCUUGCUUGGACUUGGGGACAGUUGUUUCAACACACAGCUCUACAGCAUAUUAGGCUGUGUUUAUGCUGGACAAAGCACGCCUGCUUUUGCCAUCUUCAAAUUCAUCCAGUCUGUUUUUGCAGCAGUGGCGUUCUUCUACAGCGGUUACCUCCUGUUGAAGUGGCAGCUCCUGCUGAUGGUCACCCUGGGCUUCUCUGGAACGCUGUGCUUCUUCGUGGUGGAGAGGAUGCAGAACUUCUUGGUAGAUUUGCAGGAAUAUUAGAAAGAAUACAUUUCUGUAUCAGCAUUGAUUGUUCCUUGGGAGGAACUACAGCCAUCAGAAAAACAAUCCUGUCUUUUUCAUUUCACAAGGGGUUAUUCUAAAAUCUUUUAAUAUAACACACUGUAGGUCAUACAUACAUACACACACACACACACACACACACACACACACACACACACACAGUAUACACAUACAUACACACAUACAUACACAUCUGGAUAACAUUUAUACUUAAAAUAAGAUUUUAAUUGUUGCAAGAACUGAAACCGAGUUGCCUGAAGAGAACAUUUGAAUAGCAUUACAUGGUUGUGAAUCAGCCUGGAUCGUACCUUGCACUGUCUGUUCUAAUAA